This 417-nucleotide ribosomal RNA is filed under the name Salmonella enterica subsp. enterica serovar Singapore. Its description in RNAcentral is "bacterial SSU rRNA". It matches the Rfam family "Bacterial small subunit ribosomal RNA", at positions 1127 to 1533 of the family's 1533-position model. The record is from RNAcentral. Lineage: Bacteria; Pseudomonadati; Pseudomonadota; Gammaproteobacteria; Enterobacterales; Enterobacteriaceae.
UAGGUCGGGAACUCAAAGGAGACUGCCAGUGAUAAACUGGAGGAAGGUGGGGAUGACGUCAAGUCAUCAUGGCCCUUACGACCAGGGCUACACACGUGCUACAAUGGCGCAUACAAAGAGAAGCGACCUCGCGAGAGCAAGCGGACCUCAUAAAGUGCGUCGUAGUCCGGAUUGGAGUCUGCAACUCGACUCCAUGAAGUCGGAAUCGCUAGUAAUCGUGGAUCAGAAUGCCACGGUGAAUACGUUCCCGGGCCUUGUACACACCGCCCGUCACACCAUGGGAGUGGGUUGCAAAAGAAGUAGGUAGCUUAACCUUCGGGAGGGCGCUUACCACUUUGUGAUUCAUGACUGGGGUGAAGUCGUAACAAGGUAACCGUAGGGGAACCUGCGGUUGGAUCACCUCCUUACCUUAAAGAA